RNAcentral lists this ribosomal RNA (503 nucleotides) under uncultured bacterium. Its description in RNAcentral is "partial 16S ribosomal RNA". It matches the Rfam family "Bacterial small subunit ribosomal RNA", at positions 30 to 523 of the family's 1533-position model. The record is from RNAcentral.
AUUGAACGCUGGCGGCAGGCUUAACACAUGCAAGUCGAGCGGGGUGAUGGUGCUUGCACUAUCACUUAGCGGCGGACGGGUGAGUAAUGCUUAGGAAUCUGCCUAUUAGUGGGGGACAACAUCUCGAAAGGGAUGCUAAUACCGCAUACGUCCUACGGGAGAAAGCAGGGGAUCACUUGUGACCUUGCGCUAAUAGAUGAGCCUAAGUCGGAGUAGCUAGUUGGUGUGGUAAAGGCCUACCAAGGCGACGAUCUGUAGCGGGCCUGAGAGGAUGAUCAGCCGCACUGUUACUGAGACACGGCCCAGACUCCUACUGGAGGCAGCAGUGUGGAAUAUUGGACAAUGGGGGGAACCCUGAUCCAGCCAUGCCGCGUGUGUGAAGAAGGCCUUAUGGUUGUAAAGCACUUUAAGCGAGGAGGAGGCUCUUUUGGUUAAUACCCAAGAUGAGUGGACGUUACUCGCAGAAUAAGCACCGGCUAACUCUGUGCCAGCCGCCGCAGUAA